GAGACGUUUUUUCUUGCCCUUCGAUUUUUUACCCAUAGUGGGCCGAUGUAACCCGCGCUGGCUUAAAAUCUUGUCCAUCCGUCGCCUCGGUGCGGGCUACAAUGGUCGAGACAGUGGGAUGCAACGCCGAGAGGCGACGCUAAUCUCCGAAACUCGAUCGUAGUUCGGAUUGCGGGCUGAAACUCGCCCGCAUGAAGCUGGAUUCGGUAGUAAUCGCGCCUCAGAAGGGCGCGGUGAAUACGUCCCUGCUCCUUGCACACACCGCCCGUCAAAGCACCCGAGUGAGGUCCGGAUGAGGCCGGCAUCCGCCGGUCGAAUCUGGGCUUCGCAAGGGGGCUUAAGUCGUAACAAGGUAGCCGUAGGGGAAUCUGCGGCUG
RNAcentral lists this non-coding RNA (377 nucleotides) under Halostagnicola sp. A56. RNAcentral's name for it is "Archaeal small subunit ribosomal RNA". It matches the Rfam family "Archaeal small subunit ribosomal RNA", at positions 936 to 1467 of the family's 1478-position model. The record is from Rfam by way of RNAcentral. Lineage: Archaea; Methanobacteriati; Methanobacteriota; Halobacteria; Halobacteriales; Natrialbaceae.